UCGUGCGUGCGUCCGUCUGUCCGUCCAUCAGACACAAAGACCUAGGCGCCGCAGAAUGGAGAAGCCAUGGAGUGAAGAGUCCCAACACUAGUCUCCCAAGUCUUUGAGGUGAAAAAAUAUGGUAAGUUGUUGUGUGAGGGAAGUUCAAUGACAGAUCUGAGGCCUUAAUCUAAAGUGCUUUGUUUCUGGUUUUAGUUUUGCCCAAGUUUGAUGUGACCGUAAACGGACUGCAGAUCUACAGCGUUGCAGUUAUGGGACUGAAAGUUGAAUCUUGUGCCAAAUACACAUAUGGCCAACCUGUACCUGGUCAAGCCUUAGUGGAAGGUGUGCCGUAAUCCAUUUUCAUACAGUCUGCUUCAUAAUUUGACCAGACAGUGCCUGACUCAAACCGCAAAGGUGAAUGCCACGGGCUGUGCCUCUCUUACUGUUGAUGCGUCAGUGUUUUUCAACACCAAAUUUGAAGACCACAUGCAAGACACAUUUCUUCAAAAUGUGAAUGUUACUGAGGAGGGAACAGAUGUAAUGGUGUCAAAAUCUGCAAUGGUGUCCUUUACAAACAAAGCUGUACAUCUCUUGGAGGGGAGCAACUGGCCCAACAAACACGAAUCUAACUGGAAUACUGUGUGCGUACAUCUUAAAAAACCACACCCAUACUGAUGUAUGAAUCGAAAGACAACAGUAAAAAACUUUAUUGUGGACAUGGACCAUGUGAUUGUUCUGCCUGAACAAUCUGUAGCGGUUGUCACCCAGUUUAAGAUCCGCACCUCAACAACUUUCAUACAAAAUUUGGUCCUUCGAGCUGGAGCAGACAGCUACUACAGCAUUACCAUGUCUAGAACAGGAAGACAGGCUACGUCAGUGCCACCAGUGGUUCGACCACGUCGACAGGUCAUCCCACCAAGAUACUUGACUUCUAUGUUGAUUACACAGUGCCACAUCAGUUACUUCAUUCUGAUGAACAGCCUACAAAUGGUGCCACUGGAUCUGAGCAAGGUAAAAGGCCUGCAUUUAAAGAGUUCACAUGUAUUGAAAGCGGACCAGAACUAAUGAAAAGUAUGAGCACUGGAUCAAGUGAAAGGAUCACCGCCACGGCCAAUCGCCAUCACCGCCACGGCCAAUGCCCCGUACUCUGACUUCUCCAAGGCGAAUAAUUUAUGCAGAUCAGAGAGUUCUCUCCUCAAGUCCAUAUACAGCAGCCACUGAGGGCAGGCCAGUUCUGCCUAGAGAUCAAGAUGAUCCUUCUCAGCCCAUGAGAGCACUGCCUGUAGAUUCACGAGGUGACCUUCUGCAUUCUCAUUCUGUCAGUCACAAAGAGAUUGAUCUCACUGACAACCUAGGAGACCUGAGACCUACCAGGCUCGGAAACUCGGCUAACUUCAAGUCAUCCUUUCUCUUCUUAUGAACCAACUCAAUCCCAACACAAGCUAGCUCAUCAAGAAGAUGCUACAUAUCCUCAACCUGGUAUUAGGCACAGAGAUAGACCACGUGGUUACUACAACACAGACCACAGAGGCCAUAACUAUAUGUCCACUGACCAAAGAGAUCGCAACCAAUAUCCCGCAGCUGUUCAGUUUAUGCCUCAGGACUACAGUCAAGAGACAGCAGCUGCGUAUGGGACUUAUAAAGAUCAUAGUCUGAACUGCAGACCCGUCCGCUAUUUCCCUUCCACUGAACCAUAUGGUUUUCAGCAACCUUAUCAUGGGAUUCCAGCUACAAGUCCAAUCUAUGAAGAUGAGAGACUUACUCCAAGGGAUACAUUGGCUCACCAUGCAUAUGAGAGACACUCAGACAGCUAUGGUCAAUCAACUCCUAAUCCUACAGACAA
This is a non-coding RNA of Pimephales promelas (fathead minnow), 1825 nucleotides long. The record is from RefSeq and is a predicted model, not a curated record. Lineage: Eukaryota; Metazoa; Chordata; Actinopteri; Cypriniformes; Leuciscidae.